Molecule: ribosomal RNA, 253 nt
Filed under: uncultured bacterium
Lineage: Bacteria
Description: partial 16S ribosomal RNA
Rfam family: Bacterial small subunit ribosomal RNA
Source: RNAcentral
UACAGGGGGUGCAAGCGUUAUUCGGAUUUAUUGGGCGUAAAGAGCGUGUAGGCGGUCUGUUAAGUCUGGUGUGAAAGCCCCGGGCUCAAUCCGGGAAGUGCAUUGGAUACUGGCAGACUAGAGUGUAGGAGAGGUGAGCGGAAUUCCUGGUGUAGAGGUGAAAUUCGUAGAUAUCAGGAGGAACAACAGCGGCGAAGGCGGCUCACUGGACUAUUACUGACGCUAAGGCGCGAAAGCGUGGGGAGCAAACAGG